UUAAGCGACUAAGCGUACACGGUGGAUGCCCUGGCAGUCAGAGGCGAUGAAGGACGUGCUAAUCUGCGAAAAGCGUCGGUAAGGUGAUAUGAACCGUUAUAACCGGCGAUGUCCGAAUGGGGAAACCCAGUGCAAUUCGUUGCACUAUCGUUAACUGAAUACAUAGGUUAACGAGGCGAACCGGGGGAACUGAAACAUCUAAGUACCCCGAGGAAAAGAAAUCAACCGAGAUUCCCCCAGUAGCGGCGAGCGAACGGGGAGCAGCCCAGAGUCUGAAUCAGCUUGUGUGUUAGUGGAACGGUCUGGAAAGUCCGACGGUACAGGGUGAUAGUCCCGUACACCAAAAUGCACAGGCUGUGAACUCGAAGAGUAGGGCGGGACACGUGGUAUCCUGUCUGAAUAUGGGGGGACCAUCCUCCAAGGCUAAAUACUCCUGACUGACCGAUAGUGAACCAGUACCGUGAGGGAAAGGCGAAAAGAACCCCGGCGAGGGGAGUGAAAAAGAACCUGAAACCGUGUACGUACAAGCAGUGGGAGCACCUUCGGGUGUGACUGCGUACCUUUUGUAUAAUGGGUCAGCGACUUAUAUUCUGUAGCAAGGUUAACCGUAUAGGGGAGCCGCAGGGAAACCGAGUCUUAACUGGGCGUUAAGUUGCAGGGUAUAGACCCGAAACCCGGUGAUCUAGCCAUGGGCAGGUUGAAGGUUGGGUAACACUAACUGGAGGACCGAACCGACUAAUGUUGAAAAAUUAGCGGAUGACUUGUGGCUGGGGGUGAAAGGCCAAUCAAACCGGGAGAUAGCUGGUUCUCCCCGAAAGCUAUUUAGGUAGCGCCUCGUGAACUCAUCUUCGGGGGUAGAGCACUGUUUCGGCUAGGGGGUCAUCCCGACUUACCAACCCGAUGCAAACUACGAAUACCGAAGAAUGUUAUCACGGGAGACACACGGCGGGUGCUAACGUCCGUCGUGAAGAGGGAAACAACCCAGACCGCCAGCUAAGGUCCCAAAGUCAUGGUUAAGUGGGAAACGAUGUGGGAAGGCACAGACAGCCAGGAUGUUGGCUUAGAAGCAGCCAUCAUUUAAAGAAAGCGUAAUAGCUCACUGGUCGAGUCGGCCUGCGCGGAAGAUGUAACGGGGCUAAACCAUGCACCGAAGCUGCGGCAGCGACACUAUGUGUUGUUGGGUAGGGGAGCGUUCUGUAAGCCUGCGAAGGUGUGCUGUGAGGCAUGCUGGAGGUAUCAGAAGUGCGAAUGCUGACAUAAGUAACGAUAAAGCGGGUGAAAAGCCCGCUCGCCGGAAGACCAAGGGUUCCUGUCCAACGUUAAUCGGGGCAGGGUGAGUCGACCCCUAAGGCGAGGCCGAAAGGCGUAGUCGAUGGGAAACAGGUUAAUAUUCCUGUACUUGGUGUUACUGCGAAGGGGGGACGGAGAAGGCUAUGUUAGCCGGGCGACGGUUGUCCCGGUUUAAGCAUGUAGGCUGGUUAUCCAGGCAAAUCCGGAUAAUCAAGGCUGAGGUGUGAUGACGAGGCACUACGGUGCUGAAGUAACAAAUGCCCUGCUUCCAGGAAAAGCCUCUAAGCAUCAGGUAACAUCAAAUCGUACCCCAAACCGACACAGGUGGUCAGGUAGAGAAUACCAAGGCGCUUGAGAGAACUCGGGUGAAGGAACUAGGCAAAAUGGUGCCGUAACUUCGGGAGAAGGCACGCUGGUGUGUAGGUGAAGUCCCUGCGGAUGGAGCUGAGACCAGUCGAAGAUACCAGCUGGCUGCAACUGUUUAUUAAAAACACAGCACUGUGCAAACACGAAAGUGGACGUAUACGGUGUGACGCCUGCCCGGUGCCGGAAGGUUAAUUGAUGGGGUUAUCCGUAAGGAGAAGCUCUUGAUCGAAGCCCCGGUAAACGGCGGCCGUAACUAUAACGGUCCUAAGGUAGCGAAAUUCCUUGUCGGGUAAGUUCCGACCUGCACGAAUGGCGUAAUGAUGGCCAGGCUGUCUCCACCCGAGACUCAGUGAAAUUGAACUCGCUGUGAAGAUGCAGUGUACCCGCGGCAAGACGGAAAGACCCCGUGAACCUUUACUAUAGCUUGACACUGAACAUUGAGCCUUGAUGUGUAGGAUAGGUGGGAGGCUUUGAAGCGUGGACGCCAGUCUGCGUGGAGCCAACCUUGAAAUACCACCCUUUAAUGUUUGAUGUUCUAACGUUGGCCCCUGACCGGGGUUGCGGACAGUGUCUGGUGGGUAGUUUGACUGGGGCGGUCUCCUCCCAAAGCGUAACGGAGGAGCACGAAGGUUAGCUAAUCCUGGUCGGACAUCAGGAGGUUAGUGCAAUGGCAUAAGCUAGCUUGACUGCGAGCGUGACGGCGCGAGCAGGUGCGAAAGCAGGUCAUAGUGAUCCGGUGGUUCUGAAUGGAAGGGCCAUCGCUCAACGGAUAAAAGGUACUCCGGGGAUAACAGGCUGAUACCGCCCAAGAGUUCAUAUCGACGGCGGUGUUUGGCACCUCGAUGUCGGCUCAUCACAUCCUGGGGCUGAAGUAGGUCCCAAGGGUAUGGCUGUUCGCCAUUUAAAGUGGUACGCGAGCUGGGUUUAGAACGUCGUGAGACAGUUCGGUCCCUAUCUGCCGUGGGCGCUGGAGAAUUGAGGGGGGCUGCUCCUAGUACGAGAGGACCGGAGUGGACGCAUCACUGGUGUUCGGGUUGUCAUGCCAAUGGCACUGCCCGGUAGCUAAAUGCGGAAGAGAUAAGUGCUGAAAGCAUCUAAGCACGAAACUUGCCCCGAGAUGAGUUCUCCCUGAGACUUUAAGUCUCCUGAAGGAACGUUAAAGACGAUGACGUUGAUAGGCCGGGUGUGUAAGCGCAGCGAUGCGUUGAGCUAACCGGUACUAAUGAACCGUGAGGCUUAACCU
This 2899-nucleotide ribosomal RNA is filed under the name Klebsiella pneumoniae. RNAcentral's name for it is "bacterial LSU rRNA". It matches the Rfam family "Bacterial large subunit ribosomal RNA". The record is from RNAcentral. Lineage: Bacteria; Pseudomonadati; Pseudomonadota; Gammaproteobacteria; Enterobacterales; Enterobacteriaceae.